This 520-nucleotide ribosomal RNA is filed under the name uncultured bacterium. Its description in RNAcentral is "bacterial SSU rRNA". It matches the Rfam family "Bacterial small subunit ribosomal RNA", at positions 29 to 535 of the family's 1533-position model. The record is from RNAcentral.
AACGAACGCUGGCGGCGCGUUUUAAGCAUGCAAGUCGAACGGCAGUAUGGAGCAAUCCAUAUGAGAGUGGCGAACGGGUGAGUAACACGUAGGUGAUCUCCCUCGGUUUUGGGGGAUAGUUCGUGGAAACACGGGGUAAUACCGAAUACGCUCUCCGGGCUGUGGCCUGGGGAGGAAAGGCGCGGGUGCGCCGAACCGAGAUGAGCCUGCGUCCCAUUAGCUGGUUGGCGGGGUAAAGGCCCACCAAGGCGACGAUGGGUAGCCGGCCUGAGAGGGUGACCGGCCACACUGGGACUGAGAUACGGCCCAGACUCCUACGGGAGGCAGCAGCUAAGAAUCUUCCGCAAUGGGCGAAAAGCCUGACGGAGCGACGCCGCGUGGACGAUGAAGGCCGGAAGGUUGUAAAGUCCUUUCUCCGUGAAGAAUAAAGGGUGCGAGGAAAUGCGCGCCUGAUGACGUUAUCGGAGGAAUAAAGCCCCGGCUAAUUACGUGCCAGCAGCCGCGGUAAAAGUCACGUCGC